CCUGGUGAAAUUAGCGCUGUGGAACCACCCGAUCCCAUCCCGAACUCGGAAGUGAAACGCAGCUGCGCCGAUGGUAGUGUGGCUCAAGCCAUGCGAGAGUAGGUCAUCGCCA
Molecule: ribosomal RNA, 112 nt
Filed under: Stenotrophomonas maltophilia
Lineage: Bacteria; Pseudomonadati; Pseudomonadota; Gammaproteobacteria; Lysobacterales; Lysobacteraceae
Also listed under: 2 other names
Source: RNAcentral